CUGGUUGAUCCUGCCAGACCCGACUGCUAUCAGAGUGGGACUAAGCCAUGCGAGUCGACGCCGUAAGGCGUGGCAUACGGCUCAGUAACACGUAGUCAACAUGCCCAAGGGACGUGGAUAACCUCGGGAAACUGAGGAUAAACCGCAAUAGGCCAAGAUUUCUGGAAUGGAUCAUGGCUGAAAUCUAUAUGGCCCUUGGAUUGGACUGCGUCCGAUCAGGCUGUUGGUGAGGUAAUGGCCCACCAAACCUAUAACCGGUACGGGCUCUGAGAGGAGGAGCCCGGAGAUGGGUACUGAGACAAGGACCCAGGCCCUAUGGGGCGCAGCAGGCGCGAAACCUCUGCAAUAGGCGAAAGCUUGACAGGGUUACUCUGAGUGAUUUCCGUUAAGGAGAUCUUUUGGCACCUCUAAAAAUGGUGCAGAAUAAGGGGUGGGCAAGUCUGGUGUCAGCCGCCGCGGUAAUACCAGCACCCCGAGUGGUCGGGACGUUUAUUGGGCCUAAAGCAUCCGUAGCCGGUUCUACAAGUCUUCCGUUAAAUCCACCUGCUUAACAGAUGGGCUGCGGAAGAUACUAUAGAGCUAGGAGGCGGGAGAGGCAAGCGGUACUCGAUGGGUAGGGGUAAAAUCCGUUGAUCCAUUGUAGACCACCAGUGGCGAAGGCGGCUUGCCAGAACGCGCUCGACGGUGAGGGAUGAAAGCUGGGGGAGCAACCGGAUUAGAUACCCGGGUAGUCCCAGCUGUAAACGAUGC
RNAcentral lists this ribosomal RNA (750 nucleotides) under uncultured soil archaeon. RNAcentral's name for it is "bacterial SSU rRNA". It matches the Rfam family "Archaeal small subunit ribosomal RNA", at positions 4 to 763 of the family's 1478-position model. The record is from RNAcentral.